Molecule: ribosomal RNA, 460 nt
Filed under: uncultured bacterium
Lineage: Bacteria
Description: partial 16S ribosomal RNA
Rfam family: Bacterial small subunit ribosomal RNA
Source: RNAcentral
CCUACGGGAGGCUGCAGUGAGGAAUAUUGGUCAAUGGACGAGAGUCUGAACCAGCCAAGUAGCGUGAAGGAUGACUGCCCUAUGGGUUGUAAACUUCUUUUAUAUGGGAAUAAAAUGUUCCACGUGUGGGAUUUUGUAUGUACCAUAUGAAUAAGGAUCGGCUAACUCCGUACCAGCAGCCGCGGUAAUACGGAGGAUCCGAGCGUUAUCCGGAUUUAUUGGGUUUAAAGGGAGCGUAGGUGAAUUGUUAAGUCAGUUGUGAAAGUUUGCGGCUCAACCGUAAAAUUGCAGUUGAAACUGGCAGUCUUGAGUACAGUAGAGGUGGGCGGAAUUCGUGGUGUAGCGGUGAAAUGCUUAGAUAUCACGAAGAACUCCGAUUGCGAAGGCAGUUCACUGGACUGCAACUGACACUGAGGCUCGAAAGUGUGGGUAUCAAACAGGAUUAGAUACCCUUGUAGUC